Passer domesticus (house sparrow) is the source of this 2981-nucleotide long non-coding RNA. RefSeq lists it as uncharacterized. NCBI's taxonomy places the organism in Eukaryota, Metazoa, Chordata, Aves, Passeriformes, Passeridae. The record is from RefSeq and is a predicted model, not a curated record. The transcript is spliced from 4 exons.
CUAGCCCACAAACAUCAUUGUUACCUUUUUAUUUGGGUCGCUGCCUGCGGCUGCUGGGAGAACUCUGGGGCUGUCCCAGCAUUAGGGUUGCUGCCUAGUGCUGCUGUUGGGGAAAACUGGUGUGCUAGAGGUGCUGUUUAGGGUGAGCUUACAGUUGGGGUAAGGGCUGCUGCAACUGUACCCUAACCCUACCUGGUAUCCUGUGUCCUGUCCUUUGUACCCCUAACCCUCAGUGUCAGCUCUCCCCCUGUCAAGCCCUCCCCUCUUUGCCCCUCAGCCCACAAUGUCUGUGUGUCACCCCAAGCCCCCCGACACUGUCCCUUGGCCCCCUAAAUUCCACCGUGCACUCUCCACCCGGGUAGGGGUAGUUUUUAGGGUGAGGUUAGGGGUGAUGUGAGGGCUGGUUCACCUGUCACCCUCAGGCACCUGCUCCCCCUCAGCCUCUUCUUGUCACCCUCAAGUUCCCUAGAGUAGCCUCUCAGCUUCUCUGUGACACCCUGGAGCCCUCCAGUUGCUCCUAAAGACCCCUUCUGCCUCUCAGCUGCCCCCAUCCUCUGUGUCACCCUCCACCCCCCUCCCCUCAGCCCCUUGUGACACCCUGCAGCCCAGCGACCUUGUCCCUGCCUGUCUUCUUUGGGUGCUGUCCUGCUGCGGGAGCUGCACCGUCCUCCGAGGGCUCAGGUUCCCACGUGCUGCUGGACGGGACUCGCACGUGGGCGGUGAGUGCAGUAAUGGAGGGAGCACAGCGUGGUGGGGAGGGGUUAAGGGCGGAGUGAAGGAUGGAGCGAGGGCGGGCUGGGAAACAGAGUAGGGGUUAGUGGCGGAGGAGGGGACACAGCAGUAGGGGGCUGAGGGGAGGAGGUAAGGGUUGGGAGGAAGCACCCCAUAACUCCGAGACCAAAUCUGCAGACAGUGAGAACUCUGAGUGACCUGGGAGCGCCACACGCCUUCGGCCAACUGAUGCCUGCAGAGAGAACAAAGGAAGUUCAAGGCUACUUAGAAAGGAAUGCAAGCAUCCAAGCCGAAGAGGAGGCCCCCACCGCAGGAAAAAGUGAAUCUGGGUUACAACUGAGUGCACGGCCUCAUCCCUGUGCUUGCCAUCCACCUGCCAGCGCCAGAGUGAAUUUGUCUCCAUCCCUGGAAGUGCCAUCACAGACCCAGCUCCAGCUCUGGUGUUCUGCGGCUUCUAAGGGCAGCAUCUUGGUCUGGGCCCCAGCUGUGCAACACUUCAGAUCCCGCCCAAGGGGCUGUAAGCCAACCCCACCAUCAAUAUCGCAGCCCCACAGCGAUUUCAGCUGCCACCCAGCAAUCCCUAGCCACUAUGCCAGUCCCUGCCUCAUUUCAACCGGAUGCCCACAGCCUUGUUCUCAGCUCUGCAUUUCCGUUUCCUUUUUCAUGCACAACCCCAGCCUUGCCAUCCACUUGCCCACCCCACAGUGAUUUUGUCUCCAUCCCUGGAAGUGCCAUCACAGACUCAGGGAAUAUCCCAGCAUUGCCAUAAUUUUCUGGUGCUAUAUUUCAGCCCCGGUUUCCACCGCACACAUUCUGUUCUAGUUUCAGUCACAAUACUCAGCCGUAGCACUUACCACAGACGUACACUGAGUUCAGGGCACAAAUCCUAUAGUGUCCAUGUCAACCAUACAGUUUCCAUACCUGGCCCACAGGCCCUCUUUCCCAUCCCUGGUGAUUUCAGCUCUUGACCCACAAGCUUUAUUUCUCUGUUCUUGGAGCUCCCGCUGUUCAAUUCUCCAGCUGUGUCAGGUGAAACUACUCCCCGCUCAGACAUGAGGGCCUUGGCUUUGGCUCCAAUUUUGAGGCUUCAGGUCCAAGUCUAGAAACACCAUUCUCACCCCAUUCCAGCAGUCAUUAUUCCACCUCCAGCUCGUCAUUUUGUGUCCCAUUCUAUGGUUACUCUCUAGACCUGCCGUAAGUAUCCCUUUGAACAGUGAGUGAUGCUGCAGCACUGCAGUCCCUACCGUGGCCCCAGUGAUUUCAGCUCCAGUCCCACAAGCUUUAUUUCACUGCCAGCUCUUGUUUCACUUCCUGUUCAACAUCUUCCCAGCAGUGCCACACAAUGCUACUUCUGCUUCUCAGGGCAGGCUCUUUGUUUUAACGCUAGCUCUCUGUGUGGUUUCAGCUCAGCUCUUGAACCUAUGUUCUUGAGCCCCAACACUACAACCCCUCCUGCAGCAAUAACUCUGUAGUCCCUAUGGUAGCCCUUACAGCAAUUUCAGCUGUGACCAUUCAGUUCACACCCCAGCACCACAUUCCCUAUCCCAGCCCCACAGGGGUUGUACCCCAAACCCUACCAUAUUUCUGUCUCCUCCAGCUCUUCUGCCUCAGCUCCAGCUCCUCAGCUUCCUACUGCCUGCUGCUAAAAGCUGCUUCUGCUUGUCACUGCAGUUUGGGGCUGUUCAUAAGGCCACAAAUCAGUUAGUGUCGUCAUUUCAAUGUCUCCAGUAGCUGUCCCACCCACCCUCAUGGGAUCCCGACUUUGGGGACACUUGAGGCCUGAAGGCCAACAUCUACCCUCCCCCUCCCACUGUGUCUCAGCCCAGCACCUGCCCAGAGACGCCCCUCACCUCCCUCAGGCAGCCCCAGGGGCUAGGAAUAGCCGCCAGGCCCCUGGUCCCCCAUCCCAAAAGGUGCCCUUGGGCUGGCUCUUGGGCCCUGGAACCCUCUGAGCCCCCACACCCCCAGCCUCUGCUUGGUACCACAGGGCAGGGGCUGGGAUACUCUGGGCACGUCCUGCAGGCCCUGCGCUGCAGCUCUGUGCCCUUCUCCCACGGCAUUUAUCCAGCCCCAGGAUUUCCACCACUCUGUAUUGUUUUGGGCCUGGCUCGUGCCAAAGUCCUUUUUCCGCACCCUGGGGCUUGAUUUCUCUACUGAUCUCACAACUGGUGUUUCAGCCCCAGUCCCACAACCCUUACUGAACUAACAUCAGAUACCUAGUAAACAAAACCAAACCAAACAAAAUGUAA